This 465-nucleotide ribosomal RNA is filed under the name Vreelandella stevensii. Its description in RNAcentral is "partial 16S ribosomal RNA". It matches the Rfam family "Bacterial small subunit ribosomal RNA", at positions 338 to 795 of the family's 1533-position model. The record is from RNAcentral. Lineage: Bacteria; Pseudomonadati; Pseudomonadota; Gammaproteobacteria; Oceanospirillales; Halomonadaceae.
CCUACGGGAGGCUGCAGUGGGGAAUAUUGGACAAUGGGCGAAAGCCUGAUCCAGCCAUGCCGCGUGUGUGAAGAAGGCCUUCGGGUUGUAAAGCACUUUCAGUGGGGAAGAAAGCCUUGGGGCUAAUACCCUCGAGGAAGGACAUCACCCACAGAAGAAGCACCGGCUAACUCCGUGCCAGCAGCCGCGGUAAUACGGAGGGUGCGAGCGUUAAUCGGAAUUACUGGGCGUAAAGCGCGCGUAGGCGGUCUGAUAAGCCGGUUGUGAAAGCCCCGGGCUCAACCUGGGAACGGCAUCCGGAACUGUCAGGCUAGAGUGCAGGAGAGGAAGGUAGAAUUCCCUGUGUAGCGGUGAAAUGCGUAGAGAUCGGGAGGAAUACCAGUGGCGAAGGCGGCCUUCUGGACUGACACUGACGCUGAGGUGCGAAAGCGUGGGUAGCAAACAGGAUUAGAUACCCGUGUAGUC